This 6321-nucleotide long non-coding RNA is filed under the name Sus scrofa (pig). RNAcentral describes it as "lncRNA (ENSSSCG00060061646.1)". The record is from RNAcentral. Lineage: Eukaryota; Metazoa; Chordata; Mammalia; Artiodactyla; Suidae.
AAGAAUUCUCCUUUUUGGUUUGUUUUCUUUUUUGGCCACCCCACGGCACAUGGAGCUCCCUGGGCCGGGCUGGGGAUCAUACCUGUGUCCCAGUGCUCCCAAGACCCCACUGGCCUCAUUGCACCACAGCAGGAACUCCCUAAGGAAGAAUUUCUGAUGGUUGUAAGAGCCAGGAAGAAACUCAAAAAGGAAAGGGGUGGGGGGGGGGCUAGGCCCGGGAAAUGUGCUCAGGAAAGACAGUUCCAAAGAAGAAACUUUUAAGCUAAGACUGGAAGAACAAGGAGGACCCCACCCUGCCAAGCCCUGGGGGAAAGAACGGUGGCAGAGCAGACAGCAGGCCCAUCCUCCCUCCAACUCAGCAGGGGCCACCCUCGCCCCUUGCCCCCUGACCCAACCAGCUUUGGGCAAUUCUAAAUUCUAAAGCUCCCAGACAGGUAUCAUUUUAAAAUCUUACAUCGCGGGACCAUGCCCGCUAGAAAAUCUGUCCUGACACGUGGGCUAUUUUUAGACUGGUCCACUUGUGUCUCUUCAAGUCCUUUUUCCCCUGUUCAACCGGAAGACCCGAAUCGUCCAGGUACCUCAGCCUCCUCGCCACACCUGAAACUGCAUUCAUCAGCCACUUUUUCAAAAUUGGAUCUUCCUUCAAAGCUGAAGGACUUGAUUACUCCCCUAACAGAACACAUCACGCUGAUUACGGGAUUAUUCACGUGCCAUUUCAAAGAGGCUGGGCAACAUUUCACAGCCUCGCAGCCGCCAACACACACAGACGCGAAAGCGGAAAAGGCGAUGCUGAUAGUCAAAUGCCCUCCAUCUCCUGAGGUCAUGAUAAAAUACACUCUUUUUUUAACUGAUGUUUUAAAGCGGGGGGAGGGGUAGUUAUUUUGGCACAAGACAUAAAUCAAAGAAGAAAGCACCAGCAGGGAUGCAGAUAUGGGGUUGUUUCUGGGAUCUGACACACACCAGACCCUCAGUAAGCACGGGAUCCCCUCCCCGUACUCCUAGCCUUCCAUACCCGAGCAUUAAUUUUGAUGCCAAUAAUUUGCCAAUAACAUAUUCAUUGGCUCGUUUUUUAGAACUGUCAGUCUAAUGCUGUGUUUUCAACCUGCUGGCAAUUGAUUCAGCUUCAUCAAUUCAUAAGAAUGGCUUGGGGUGAGAACAGGGGUGAGGAGGUGAAGCUUUAUAGCCAUGAUUCACUGCUAAUCGAUGGUUAGCAUUUUACGCUCAAGACAAUCAAAUUCAUAUUAUUGUACAUUUUAAAAGUUUGUAAAGGCAUAAUUAUUAACAGCCAAAAUGAAAACAGGGCAUCACAAGUUCAAAUAAGCCAUAAAUUAGACAAAAAAAAGCAUCAUUCUACUGAACACCAUUUUAUUAGCUAAUCAACGUGUCGUCUUUUUUCUAUCGGCAUCUACUUACUGUCAUAUAAUUUCCAUAAGGGCACCAUCUGUAUUUAUAAAAAGAAUUAUCUUUGUGGUGCUCUAGCAAUCUGCAAACAAUGGUGAUAUUUAACUUUUCUUAAGGGAUCAAUUUUGGAAUUGGGUUAAAGGAUUUAUAAGUCUCUUUUUCAUGAUGAACCUCAAAAGGACUUAUACAUCUUGUGGUGUUAGAAGCACUUGACAUAAACAAACAAAAACCAACAAAACACAUUUUUGAUUUAUUAAAAUGUGACGUUCUGGGUCUUGACGUGCAUGUUUUUUAAUCAAGCACAGUGGGUCCCUACUAUAAAGUCCAAUAAAACAAUCACAGGCAAAAUAUUUUCUUUUUUCCAUUUUGGCUGAAAGGGCAGGUUAAUUUUCAACGUGAUCUGAUUUGGUGCCCCAUGGCUCAGAGAGAACUCAGUAUUUGCCAAGGUCACUGCUUUGAGGUUAAUCAGCAUCCAGCCAGCUCCCUCAGUUAUGACACAUGAUCAAACCCUGCCUUGACCAGUUCUUAAUGCUAGCCUUGCAAGGGCAAGUCCCUGGCUUAAGGAUGGCUAGUCAAGCUGGCGGGAAUGAGCCUGCAAGCCCCGUACCACCGACGGAGCAGAAACUCACAAGAGAAGCCCUUCCACUGGACACAGACUUCCUAGAUAGAUGACACCACAGGGGUGCAGGGAAACAUUUGUUUAAAGGGCUUCUAUAGCUACCAAAAGGACCCCAGAAAGUACAGUCUUUGGUUCUAUAAAGGCGCAUUACUUCGGCUUUGAGCCAGUCCAAAGAGCAAGAUACAGUUUGAAAGAAUCCAUCAAAGACAAAUGUCUCAUUCUUGGUUAGGAUGCAAAUUUCUCCACUAAUAAUUACUUUGUAAAUUUCAUUUUAAACAAGAUUUAGAAGGACUAUGAUUCAAAAUCUCUGACAUACUCACCAACAAAAGCAAAACACAAACUAUUAUUUAUACUUCAUUGAUCAAGAUUCCUUAAUUUGUACAUGUUCUUGGAUUUCUUCCAAAUAUCAAGGACGGUAUUAAGUAUUAGGCACAGUGAACAAAACAGUCUCUGCCCUCCUGGAGUUUAUUGUCUUUUUAAAAAAGUAUGUGUGGGAGUUCCAGUGGUGGCUCAGCAGUAACAAACCCAACUAGGAUUCAUGAGAAUUCAGGUUCAAUCCCCAGCCUCGCUCAGUAGGUUAAAGAUCCCUCGUUCCUGUGAGUUGCAGCGUAGGUCAAAGAUGAGGCUCUGAUCUGGUGUGGCUGUGGCUGUGGCUGUGGCUGUGGUGUAGGCCAGCAGCUGCAGCUCCAUUUGACCCCUAGCCUGGGAACUUCCAUAUGCUGCAGAUUCAAAAUAAAUUAAUUAAUUAAUUAAUUUAAUGAAAUGAAAGAAAAAAUUGUGUAGAAAUUCAUCAAAUCAUAUUAGUAAUUUACAUAAGAUGUGUCACUAUCUAUUCUUUCUAAUACUGGUUUGUUGCUUUUAUUUUUAUUUUUUUAUUUUUUGUCUUUUUGCCGUUUCUAGGGCCGCUCUCGCAGCAUGUGGAGGUUCCCAGGCCAGGGGUCGAAUCAGAGCUGUAGCUGCCAGCCUGCACCAGAGCCACAGCAACGCAGGAUCCAAGCCGCGUCUGCAACCUACACCACAGCUCACGGCAACACCAAAUCCUUAACCCACUGAGCAAGGCCAGGGAUCGAACCCACAACCUCAUGGUUCCUAGUCGGAUUCGUUAACCACUGGGCCACAACGGGAACUCCCUGGUUUGUUGCUUUUAAAACAUUUUUUAAAGUAAUUUGAUUAUGCACUGGGACCAGGAAAUAAUUCUUCUGCAUUUGGGACAGUUCAUUUAUUUUUUUGUUUGUCUUUUGAAAUGAUAUGUGUGGAAAUGCUUAAAAUUUGAAGAAACGUUGAUCACUGACUAUUUGACAUAUGUUAAUAAAAUGGAGACUGUUUAGGGAAACAUAAUAAAAAACAUAUUCCAGAAUGGAAAAUGGGUCUUCUUGGGGAAGGAACUCUGGAAGCAGAUGAGUCCUCUAUUCAAGUCCUGGCUCUUCCACUGUGUAGGAAACAUAUUUCCAAGUCUCAGUCCCCUUAUCCAUAAAAGGGGCGAAUUACAAGAAGACAUGAGUAUAAUAGAUGCUAGUAGCUGAGCAGGAAAUCCUUCAUCCCACAUCGACAUCGUCAUCACAAAAAGAACUCAAGAUCCAUCGUAAUUCAAAGCCGUUUCAGAGUAUCCUGGGGGGACCCCAAAGGAAGCAGGGAACAAUCUAUCCCGAGAAAACACUAGAAUUUAAGUCGGAAAUCCCGGGCUCAAAUCCCAACGCUUCUCAUGCUAACUUGUGCGCACUUGAAUAAAACCCUUAAACUUCAGAGUCUCGGUUUUCCCUGCUCUGACAUGGACCUAAUAGAACUUAAAGAGAUAAUACGUGAUGAAGAGCCAUACACAUCAUUAUACAUCAUCUCAUCAAAUACAGGACAUGACUAAUUUUACAGGAAAGCACAUUCUGACAAUAAUCUACCAUAGAAUGAUCUCUCUCUCUUCUUUUUAUCUUUUUAUGGUGGAGCCUGCAGCACACGGAAGAUCCCAGGCUAGAGGACGAAUCAGAGCUGCAGCUGCUGGCCUAGCCACAGCCAGGGCAACGCUGGAUCCAAGCCAUAUCUGCAACCUACACCGUAGCUUGUGACAAUGCCUAACCCACUGAGCAAGGCCAGGGAUCAAACCCACGUCCUCAUGGAUACCAUAUUGGGCUUAACCGCUGAGCCACAAUGGGAACUCUGAAUGAUCUCUUUUUUAACCACCCAGGUUAAAAACUCCCAGAAAGAUCACGAACCUGAAUUUCCCAUCCAUCGGAUCAAUGGACGAAUAGCAUCUCUUAAAUCCUCUGGGCUCUGGUUUCUGGUCAGGAAAAUAACAUACCCAUUGUGAGGAUUAGAAGUCAGAUGUACAAAGUGCCCAGGAGAGGUCUCAUCGCACCGUCCAUCCCUCUCCGUUAAACCACGAUUCGGUACAUUUCAUUUGUAGUAUGUAUAUUCCCACACUCGAAAACGCUUCAAAUGAUAAAGCAUUAUAAAUAACCUUUGGGUGAUCUUUAAAUAAUUCUUUAUGGUUUGGAGGGGAAAAAAAAAAUCUAUAGAAACAUAAACUAUCCAGGGUGUCAAAUCUACAGUAUAAUUAUUUUGUAUGAUCCCGGCUAAUAUAGUUCAAUCUAAAUUGCAGUCUCAUAUUUGACAUAAUUAUACAUAACCAAACACUAAUAAAAAUUGCUGCCUUAUAUUUCAAAUUAGUAAUUAUGGUAGUAAACAUUAACAACAUGUCAGAUAUAAGAUGGCGAUUUGUUCUGAAAUGUAUUAGAAAUCAUUAUACUGUAUGAUAAUUGUAAUUACAGUUGGGUAGCGAGAGAGUGCGCGGUUAGGGCUCCAAGGGCAUCAUGGGAACCGGCCGCUCUUUGGUUCAGCCCCAGAGCUGACUCCCUUCGUUUGAGAUCAGGAGAGGCACGAUCUUUCUCCUCCUUCAAAUAGCAAACCCAAUUCCCUCUGCAGAAUCAGCCCCAUCACGAGGCUUGGAGUCACUCUUCCAGGGUUUGAAAAGCCUCAUUCAAUCACUUUCUAGCCAUAUGGAUUUGGCUGACAGGAAUUUUUCUGUGCUUCUGUUUUCUCUCACCUUUAAAAUGGAAACCGUAGUAGCACUAGCUGGGAGAGUGAUAACAGCAGCUACAUGAGAUCAUUCUGUGUGCAAAGCUUAGCCUGGCACCUGGAACACAGUAAGUCUUCAAAACACAGUCACAUUGGUUAUUAUCAUUUUAUAUUAAUAUUCAGAGCAGGAGUUCCCAUCAUGGCACAGCGGAAACGAAUCCGACUAGGAACCAUGAGGUUGCGGGUUCGAUCCCUGGCCUCCCUCAGUGGGUUAAGGAUCCAGUGUUGCCGUGAGCUGUGGUGUAGGUCACGGACUCGGCUUGGAUCCUGAAUUGCUGUGGCUCUGGCACAGGCCUUCAGCUACAGCUCCAAUUAGCCCCCUAGCCUGGGAACCUCCAUAUGCCGCAGGUGUGGCCCUAAAACGAACAAAAAAAAAAAAAAAAAAAAAAUUCACAGCAAUCAUCUUCCUAAUUUUAAGACCAUGUUCUUAAUAACAGUGGCCUAAGAGUGGCCAAAUGUCCUGUGUAGAAGAGAAAUAUGCUGAAUGUUAGCUUCUACUGUGGUCUUCCUUUUAUUUUAUUUUAUUUUAUUUUUUUUUCUUUUUAGAGCCGCACCUGCGGCAUAUUCAAGUUCCUAGGCUGGAGGUUGAAUCAAAGCUGCCAGCCCACCCCACAGCCACAGCCACGCCAGAUCCCAGCCACAUCAGCGACCUAUGCCACAGCUUGCAGCAACAUCAGAUCAUUAACCCACAGAGGGGGGCCAGGGAUCAAACCCAUAUCCUCAUGGAUACCAGUCAGGUUCUUAACUCACUGAGCCACAACGGGAGCUCCAGGACACGAGUUUUCCAAACUUAGUUUUUCUCUCCUUUCCUUUCUCCUUCCACUUCUUUUUGCUCACUCAGUGUUGUGAGUCAAUGUGAAAACCCUCUUCUUCAUACUUGCACCUCACAGGGAUGUCUGGCUUCAGCUCAUCUCUUCAUGGCCCCUGCUUUCAUAUUGCCCUUAACCAUGGCCUCUCCACAUGGUCUAGCGUCCACCCCAAGCUCCAUUCAGGAUGACACUGAAAAGACGCUGCAACAGUCCUUUCCCCACAAGUGAGAGUAAGAGCCCCCACCUGCACCCACAGGACAGCUGGGCACACCUGAGGUCUGAUCACUAGACUCUCAUUUCGGAUCUCCCGCCCCACCGACACCCUCCUCCCUCAAAAAUGAAAGUCAUUAUUCUAACAUAAAACCCAUUUCUUUAUUCAGUUGCCUACUCCUAUCACUUUUCAACAUCUCUAGAUUUAUCCCAUUU